UGGGGGAUAUUGCACAAUGGGCGAAAGCCUGAUGCAGCGACGCCGCGUGGGGGAUGAAGGCCUUCGGGUUGUAAACUUCUUUUGCUCUGAACAAGGCAUGCCUUUGGGGUGUGUUGAGUGUAGGGGUUGAUUAGCGCCGGCUAACUACGUGCCAGCAGCCGCGGUAAUACGUUGGGCGCGAGCGUUGUCCGGAAUUAUUGGGCGUAAAGGGCUUGUAGGUGGCUGGUUGCGUCUGUCGUGAAAGCUCAUGGCUUAACUGUGGGUUUGCGGUGGGUACGGGCUGGCUUGAGUGCAGUAGGGGAGGCUGGAAUUCCUGGUGUAGCGGUGGAAUGCGCAGAUAUCAGGAGGAAUACCGGUGGCGAAGGCGGGUCUCUGGGCUGUUACUGACGCUGAGGAGCGAAAGCGUGGGGAGCGAACAGG
This 420-nucleotide ribosomal RNA is filed under the name Fusobacteriota bacterium. RNAcentral describes it as "Fusobacteria bacterium partial 16S ribosomal RNA". It matches the Rfam family "Bacterial small subunit ribosomal RNA", at positions 355 to 776 of the family's 1533-position model. The record is from RNAcentral. Lineage: Bacteria; Fusobacteriati; Fusobacteriota.